UCACAAGAGGCCCUGAGCUCUGUGGGCCCCAGGUGCCCCGGGAAAACUUGGGGGAGAAUGGGCAUCCCACCCCAGCACUUUCUAGGAAGAAGGGCAGCAUUUUGAAGGGCUGGAAGUAGAGGAAGGAGGUUGCGGGUAGAAGACUCCAUACUUUCUGUGACGCCUAUUCCUUAGGAAUCAAGGCUAUCUGUAAUCACAGGGCUAUUUGAAAAAGAGAAGAAAAGGUGUCUUGAAAUUCAACCAACAUGUUUCAAUUAUUUGCUCCUAAGAACAACAGAAGUUUCAACAUUCUGCCAACAGAGUAACUCCUGGAAGAUUGGCACAGAAGAAGGCACAAGGAGAGCCUUUAUAUAACCAAAGAUAUUUUUGGACCAUGAAUUCAGAAAUUCUCGGAGCCACCCAUCAGUGCCUGAGCUUCAGUGAGUCCAUAUCCCAUGUCACCCACGGCAAAGGAGACUCUAAGACUUCUGAAGAGUUUCUUGCUUCUUUCCUGUGGGGCAGUGACUCCACUUCCCAGCAGUAAUGGAAUAUCCUGAAUUAGCUACAUUAAUGUUAGAACCAUUUGGACCUCACCCAGGACUUCAACUACAUUAUGAGUAACUCCUGGACGAUUGGCACAGAAGAAGGCACAAGGCAAAUACCCAUCUCUGUACACCCUGUGCUACUGUGUCAUGUGCUGCUCCAGGCAACUCCAAUGGAUUGGCCACCCUGGCCAAUGUGUUCUAGUAUGUUACGUUUAUGUUCCCCUGCUUUCUACAAUCCUGUUCAAAGAGUUGCUGACUUAACCACAGAGAGGAUUCCAGAACCUGAGACACAGAAUAAACUUGAGCAAUCAUAGUCCAUCCACUUCAUUGUCUCAUCAAAAACCAAAGGUCCAGUGAAGCUCUGGAACUCAACGCUGUAAAGGAGCGAAGGAGCUUCUAUACAGAGCCUGGAUGCCUGUCUCCUUAUCCUACUUCAGUGGACUUGACUGCAAUCCGGAUUAUGCUGUUUUCUAAGCAUUUAAAAUAAAAUAAAAAGUAUAA
Molecule: long non-coding RNA, 1025 nt
Filed under: Homo sapiens (human)
Lineage: Eukaryota; Metazoa; Chordata; Mammalia; Primates; Hominidae
Description: HSALNT0372566
Source: RNAcentral